UCCCCUUCUACGGUUUCAGCCUCAAUCAUGCAUAACAAGCAGUAACUUGUUAUGGGGGAAAAGCCUUUGGGUAAGUUACCUUCUGCCUUCUGGGUCAGCUCAUACUCAUCAUCUGGACAGUCAGCGGCCUAGAAGGGUGAGAGCUUCUUAUAAAUGCUUUAUAUCUGUUAUCAAUUGAUUGAUGGUAGGAUGUGAAUUUAAGAAUAAAACAGACCUUACCUUAUGAAAUUAGCUCAAGUUAUAAUUACAAAUUUUAGUUGAAGUAAAUUUAUAUUUCAACAGGAAGAGUAAGAAUAUAUUUAUAAUAUAUAUAAAACAGAAUUAGCUAUUCUUGAAACCAUCAGCUGCUAUAGUUUGAGACAAAGCAGAAGCACUUUAAACCUUCUUAAUUAUGUUGCUUGAAUCUUGAUAAUCUCUGGCUUCUUUCUUUUUCCAAAUAUGUAGAAAGAACCUCUCCAACACCAUUUAAUUCGAGCCUCAAAUUUUCAAUAAUGAGAAGUAAUGACUCAAUGCAGGAAAUUCUGCUUCACACUCGAGCUUUCAUACUCAAUCCAAUGCUUCCAGCAUGGUGCGAACUUUUUCUUUGUAGUUAGCACAUGCCUCUGAACAGUUCAUAUAUUAACAAAAUUAAAAAAUAUAUAUAUCGAGAGUGAUAAAUCAAGCAAUCUGCAAAGGUGAUGAAAAUAAAUCUUAUAAUUUGUGUUAGAUUUGGGGUUUUGCAGGACCUUAUAACAUUAGAGAGAGUACCACUUAUACCUUGAAUACUACACUUUCACCAGAAUUUACAGUUUAAAGGGCUAACUUUUCUUGAUGUAGGGAAGUGUUUCAAGUUUCAUUUCCAACACCUCAUACGCCCUAUGGACCCAAGCUAAUGCUUCCAGCAUGUUGGGAGUUUCUUUUUUGUUGCCCAUGGCUCCAACUAGUGUUAGAAUAUGAACAAUCACAAAAGAAAUGAUAUUUUUUUUAUGGAAAGGUCCAGGACAGAAGAACCUUAAGAAAAAGAACUUUGAAUACUCCAUUGUCGCCAUCACUUUAUAACAACAAUUACUAAUUUGAUUUGAUACAAUGAAAUCUUUCACAUACAGGAACUUGUGAGUUGCUUCCAAGCUCUAGAACAAAACAUCUUUGACUCUGGAUCAAAUGCUUCCAGCUCAAUUGCAACUGUACAUUGGCUUUCAUGCUGUGCACUUCCAAGUUGUAGAACCAACACCUUUGGCUCCUGACCAAAUGCUUCAAGCUCAAUAACAACUGCUGAAUUGCUUUUACAUUGUGCAAUCCAGAGUGUGAGUUCUAUAUCCAAUCUUUCCACAUCAGUCAGAGUUUCUGUCUUCAAGUCUUCAUUAACAGUAAGUACAUUCCAAGUUUCUGUUUUCACCUAGAUCAUUGAUAUUAAGGUGACCUGAUGCUGGAGUAUACUUUCAGGUCGAACAUGAUUAUCAAGCAAACUGACACCUUCCCCUCCAUGAAUGGCUUAGGGUAAUGAUAUGCAUUUGCUCAAUUAGUACUAAAUAGAGGAUAUGUUUUGCUGCUUUUGUUUUUUAAUGGAAAAACUUUCCCAAUACAAACUACAAAAAGAAAUGGUGGCAUUCACACCCUUCAAAUUGUCAUUUUAAUCCCGGGAUCAACAGGGACAGAAGUUUAUAGAUUAGUGCAUAUAAAGACUUUCACUAGUUCUUAUAGCACAAAACCACACAAAAACACAGUGAGUUAUUGAUAGAGGUUGCAAUUGGAUUUCAAAUUUAUUAGAGCAAUGCAUCUGCUAAAGUUCUUUGAACUAUAUUACUGAGCGAUAUCUGUGACCCCUCACUGUCCAUAUAUGAUAGACACGACCCACCCUGUAUUCAGAAAAUGGCUUUGAAACAUCUCGCGUCGAAAAUUAAUUUCAUGGAAUCAAAUUUUGCUCCAGUCAGCGAUAAUUGUACUCUUAUCUGAUGGUGCAGCACAAGUGUCCAAUUGUCUUGAAUAUCGAUGUUAUUAACAAACAAAUAAUUCCUUGAUUAAUAAGCUCUAGGACUUAGGAAACAUUAUAAAGACAGCCUGGACCCCAAUUUCUGCUUGAAUCACUAAUAGCAAGCACUGAACUGAUUCAAUGCAGUCAAAUACUUCAAAUGCUGUAGCUUCUGGAUCACAGGAUGUUCAAGUGAAUAGGCAGCAUAGAAUGGUGAGAACUACAUAUCGUUCUUAAAUUUUUCUUCAUAUGCAAAGAAGAUGAUGAGAUGAUUUAUCCAUACAAUAGAUUAAUAAUGGAA
Molecule: long non-coding RNA, 2249 nt
Filed under: Theobroma cacao (cacao)
Lineage: Eukaryota; Viridiplantae; Streptophyta; Magnoliopsida; Malvales; Malvaceae
Description: long non-coding RNA (TCAC_LNC005871)
Source: RNAcentral